UACAGGGGGUGCAAACGUUGCUCGGAAUCAUUUGGCGUAAAGCGCACGUAGGCGGUCUGUUAUGUCGGAUGUGAAAGCCCUUGGCUCAACUGAGGAAGUGCAUCCGAAACUGGCAGGCUAGAGUACUAAAGAGGAUCGCGGAAUUCCCGGUGUAGAGGUGAAAUGCGCAGAUAUCGGGAAGAACACCCGUGGCGAAGGCGGCUCUCUGGGCCGAUACUGACGCUGAGGAGCGAAAGCGUGGGGAGCGAACAGG
This 253-nucleotide ribosomal RNA is filed under the name uncultured bacterium. RNAcentral's name for it is "partial 16S ribosomal RNA". It matches the Rfam family "Bacterial small subunit ribosomal RNA", at positions 524 to 776 of the family's 1533-position model. The record is from RNAcentral.